AUGGCGCCGCCAUCCUCCGAUGAGCCGGCCGCCGCCUCCGGGGCCGGCGCCAUCUCCAAGGUCCUCGUCGUCAUAGUUCCUAAAGGUGCCCCUUGGACUCGGUACCAUGGCGACUACAAAGGCCUCCACAUCGAUCUCGUCUGGCCUGGAAAAGACCCUGUGCUUGGGGUUGACAGUGUUGGUACAGUAUCCGCAGCUCUUGUGACUUAUGCUUCUAUACAAUUGUUGAAGCCAGACCUUAUCAUCAACGCUGGUACUGCUGGUGGUUUUAAGGCCAGAGGAGCAGGUAUUGGGGAUGUCUUCUUAGCUUCAGAUGUUGCUUUCCAUGACAGGAGAAUACCCAUUCCUGUCUUUGACAGUUAUGGAAUUGGAGCACGAAAAACAUUUGAAACCCCGAAUAUAGUGAAGGAACUCAAUUUGAAGGUUGGGAAACUGUCAACUGGUGAUUCUCUGGAUAUGUCCCCCCAUGAUGAGACAGCAAUACUGAGCAAUGAAGCUACAGUCAAGGAUAUGGAGGGAGCAGCGGUGGCAUAUGUUGCUGACUUGUUCUCGACACCUGCUAUCUUUGUCAAAGCUGUGACUGACAUUGUUGAUGGGGAGAAGCCAACAGCCGAGGAGUUUCUGCAAAACCUGAUCUCCGUGACGAUGGCGCUUGACCAGGCAGUCAUGCAAGUGGUAGACUUCAUCAGCGGCAAAUGUAUCUCUGAUCUCUGA
Molecule: ribosomal RNA, 714 nt
Filed under: Triticum aestivum (bread wheat)
Lineage: Eukaryota; Viridiplantae; Streptophyta; Magnoliopsida; Poales; Poaceae
Description: partial small subunit ribosomal RNA
Source: RNAcentral